CUGGGCCUGGGCGGGGCAGGGGACCGGGGACGGAGGGGCUGAACCCCGGAGGGCCCAGCGACUCAGGAACCCCACGGAUAGGGAUGGGAGAGUGACCCAAGACCCUUAGGGAUGGGGGAGGGGAGAGUGUCCCGGGACCUCCAGGGAUAGGGUUGAGGAGAGUGACCCGGAACCUCUAGGGAUGGGGGAGGGGAGAGUAACCCGGAACCCCCUAGGCAUGGGGGUGGGGAGUGACCUGGGUCCCCAUAGGGAUGGGAGAGGGGAGCGUAACCCGGGACCCGUAGGAAUGGGGAGGGUAGAGUGACCCAGGACCGCUAGGGAUGGGGACAGCAGAGUGACCCCGGAGCCCCAUGGAUGGGGAUGGGGAGAGUAACCCGGGACCCCCAGGCAUGGGGAUGGGGAGAGUAACCCGGGACCUCCAGGGUUGGGGAUGGGGAGAGUAAGCCGAGACCCCCCUAGGGAUGGGGGUGGGGAGAGUAAGCCGGGACCCCUAGGAAUGGGGAGGUCAAGUGACCCUGGACCCCCCCUAGGGGUGGGGAGAGUAACCCGGGACCCCUAGGGAUGGGGGAGGGGAGAGUGACCCGAAACCCCUAAGCAUGGGGUUGCGGGGAGUGACCCAGAACCCCCUAGGAAUGGGGAGGGCAGAGUAACCCAGGACCCCCCUAGGGAUGGGGGAGGGGAGAGUAACCUGGGACCCCCUAGGGAUGGGGGAGGGGAGAAUAAGCCGGGAUCCCCCUAGGGAUGGGGGAGGGGAGAAUAAGCCGGGAUCCCCCUAGGGAUGGGGGUAGGGAGAGUAACCCGGGACCCAAAAGGAUGGGGGAGGGGAGAGUGACUCAGAACCCCUAGGCAUGGGGUUGGGGAGAGUGACCCAGGACCCCCUAGGGAUGGGGGAGGGGAGAGUAACCCAGGACCCCCCUAGGGGUGGGGGAGGGGAGAGUAACCCAGGACCCCCCUAGGGGUGGGGGAGGGGAGAGCAACCUGGGACCCCCCUAGGGAUGGGGGUGGGGAGAGUAACCCAGGACGCCCUAGGCAUGGGGUUGGGGAGAGUGACCCGGGACCCCCUAGGGAUGGGGAGGGAGGAGUGACCUAUGACCGCUAGGGAUGGGGACAGCAGAGUGACCCCGGAGCCCCAUGGAUGGGGAUGGGGAGAGUAACCCGGGACCCCCAGGCAUGGGGAUGGGGAGAGUAACCCGGGACCUCCAGGGUUGGGGAUGGGGAGAGUAAGCCGAGACCCCCCUAGGGAUGGGUGUGGGGAGAGUAACCCGGGACCCCUAGGGAUGGGGGAGAGGAGAGUAACCCGGGACCCCUAGGAAUGAGGAGGUCAAGUGACCCGGGACCCUCCUAGGGAUGGGGGUGGGGAGAGUGACCCGAAACCCCUAGGCAUGGGGUUGCGGGGAGUGACCUAGAACCCACUAGGAAUGGGGAGGGGAGAAUAACCCGGGACCCCCUAGGGAUGGGGGAGGGGAGAGUAAGCCGGGAUCCCCCUAGGGAUGGGGGUAGGGAGAGUAACCUGGGACCCAAAAGGAUGGGGGAGGGGAGAGUGACCUGGAACCCCUAGGCAUGGGGUUGGGGAGAGUGACCCAGGACCCCCUAGGGAUGGAGGAGGGAAGAGUGACCCGGGACCCCCGAGGAAUGGGGAGGGGAGAGUGACCCAGGACCGCCUAGGGAUGGGGAAGGGGAGAGUAACCCAGGACCCCCUAGGGAUGGGGGUGGGGAGAGUAACCCAGGAUGCCCUAGGCAUGGGGUUGGGGAGAGUGACCUGGGACCCCCCUAGGGAUGGGGAGGGAGGAGUGACCCAGGACCCCCUAGGAAUGGGGAGGGGAGUGAUCCAGGACUGCCUAGGUAUGGGGGAGGGGAGAGUGACCCGGAACCCCUAGGGAUAGGGGAGGGGAGAGUGACCUGGGACCCCCUAGGAAUGGAGAGGGCAGAGUGACCCGGGACCCCUAGGGAUGGGGGUGGGGAGAGUAACCCAGCACCCCUAGGGAUGGGGGAGGGGAGAGUGAGCCAGCACCUCCUAGGAAUGGGGAGGGCAGAGUGACCCGGGACCCAUAGGGACGGGGGAGGCGAGAGUGACCCGGAACCCCCCUAGGGAUGGGGGAGGGGAGAGUGAUCCAGGACCCCCUAGGGAUGUGGGUGGGGAAAGUAACCCGGGACCCCUAGGAAUGGGGAGGGGAGAGUAACCCAGGACCCCUAGGGAUGGGGGAGGGGAGAGUAACCCGGAACCCCUAGGGAUGGGGUUGGGGAGUGUGACCCGGAACCCCCUAGGGAUGGGGGAGGGGAGAGUGACCCAGAACCCCUAGGGAUUGGGGAGGGGAGAGUGACCCAGGACGCCCUAGUGAUGGGGGAGGGGAGUGUGAUCCAGGACCUCCUAGGGAUAGGGGAGGGGAGAGUAAUCCAAGACCCCUAGGAAUGGGGGAGGGGAGAGUAACCUGGGACCCCUAGGGGUGGGGGAGGGGAGUGACCUGGGACCCCCUAGGGAUUGGGGAGGUGAGUGACUUAGGACUUCUAGGGAUGGAGUGGGCCCUGUGACUGAAGGUUGGACUUUGUAGCUGGGGUAUGGGAAGUGUUUCCUGGUGCCCCCAUGAGGAUCUUAUUGCGGGUGGCAGGACGCCUAGGCAGUGGGUGUCUGCCUCUCUCUGGAGCCCUAAUCACAUGGAGGAGAGGGUCUAGUGAUGAAGGGAUAGUUACUUGUGAUGGGGGGUAGUUACUGGUGACAGGCAGAUAGUUAUAGGUGAUGUGGGAUAGUUACUGGUAAUGGGGUGAUAGUUACUGGUGAUGGGAUAGUUACUGGUGAUGGGGGGAUAGUUACUGGUGAUGGGGGAUAGUUACUGGUGAUGAUGGGGCAUAGUUACUGGUGAUGGGGGGUAGUUACUGGGUUUGAUGAUGGGGCAUAGUUACUGGUGAUGGUGGAUAGUUACUGGUGAUGGGGGGUAGUUACUGGGUUUGAUGAUGGGGCAUAGUUACUGGUGAUGGGGGGUAGUUACUGGUGAUGUGAGGUAGUUACUGGUGAUGGCAGAGAAGUUACUGGUGAUGGUAGGGUAGUUACUGGUUGCCUAUGGAUAGUACAGUGGGGCAGGAGUCUACUCUUGGGGACUACGGACUGGAGGUCUGGUACUGUGGGAGGGGGGACACCACAUGCCUGGUCCUAGUGACGGGGAUGAGAGUGGUCGGGGUGCCUUACAGAAGGCAUGGGUCUCCAUGAUUGGGGGUGACAGGGCAUAGGGCAGGGGUCUAUAUGAUCUGGGGUUGAGAUCUGCAGGGCAGGUCCAGGGCUUGGUGACUGGUGCCCUGAAGACCAGGAUGGGCGUCAGGGCCAGGAUCUGGGGGCACCUUCAAGAGGUGAGGAGCGCUGAGGAGGGUAGAAGAGUGGAAGAAAGAUGAAAGAAGAAAAGCAGCUUCACAGUCAAAGACGGGUUUAUUUUGGAGAACAAGCCUGAGCAGGGCUUCUGGCUGAGUUAGGUCAGGAGUGUUCUCUCUUACAGACUAAGGGUAUUUAAGGGUUUAGGAAGGGGAAUCUUAUCGCAGGCUCGGAAUGUUUCCCUGUGAGGCAAAGUUGACUGAGGUGUUGGAAUGUCUCUGGUCUGAAGGAGGUUAUCUUGGGCUUGGGAUGUUUCUGGUCAGAGGCGGUUUAUUUCAGGCUUUCACUGUUUCUGGUCAUGCUGACAUUAGCCAUUAGGCUGAUGUUUGGGGGCUGGUUUUAGGCAGUUUUUAAUCAAGGGAACUUAAAAUGGCAGUGCUUGUCCAAGAUGGCAGUGUGUGUCCAAGAUGGUGGUGUGUGUCAAAGAUGGCCAUGCAUGUCCAAGAUGGCAGUGCUUGUCCAAGAUGGUGGUGCUUAUCCAAGAUGGCGGUGUGUGUCCAAGAUGGUGGUGCUUAUCCAAGAUGGUGGUGUGUGUCCCAGAUGGUGUGUGUCCAAGAUGGCGGUGCUUCUCCAAGAUGGCAGUGUGUCCAAGAUGGUGUGUCUCCAAGAUGGUGGUGCUUAUCCAAGAUGGCGGUGUUUGUCCAAGAUGGUGGUGCUUAUCCAAGAUGGCAGUGUGUGUCCAAGAUGAUGGUGCUUAUCCAAGAUGGCAGUGUGUGUCCAAGAUGGUGGUGCUUAUCCAAGAUGGUGUUGUGUGUCCAAGAUGGUGUCUGUCCAAGAUGGUGGUGUGUGUCCAAGAUGGUGGUGUGUGUCAAAGAUGGCCAUGCAUGUCCAAGAUGGCAGUGCUUGUCUAAGAUGGUGUGUGUCCAAGAUGGUGGUGCUUAUCCAAGAUGGCCGUGUGUGUCCAAGAUGGUGUGUGUCCAAGAUGGUGGUGCUUCUCCAAGAUGGCGGUGUGUGUCCAAGAUGUUGUGUGGACAAGAUGGUGGUGCUUUUCCAAGAUGGUGGUGUGUAUCCAAGAUGGCGGCAUGUCCAAGAUGGCGGUGUGUCCAAGAUGGUGGUGCUUGUCCAAGAUGGUGUUAUGGGUCCAAGAUGGCAGUGUGUGUCCCAAAUGGUGUGUGUCCAAGAUGGUGGUGCUUAUCCAAGAUGGCUGUGUGUGUCCAAGAUGGUGGUGCUUAUCCAAGAUGGCCGUGUGUGUCCAAGAUGGUGGUGCUUAUCCAAGAUGGCUGUGUGUGUCCAAGAUGGUGGUGCUUAUCCAAGAUGGCCGUGUGUGUCCAAGAUGGUGUGUGUCCAAGAUGGUGGUGCUUAUCCAAGAUGGUGGUGUGUGUCCAAGAUGGUGGUGCGUGUCAAAGAUGGCCAUGCAUGUCCAAGAUGGUGUGUGUCCAAGAUGGUGGUGCUUAUCCAAGAUGGCGGUGUGUGUCCAAGAUGGUGGUGCUUAUCCAAGAUGGUGGUGUGUGUCCAAGAUGGUGGUGCGUGUCAAAGAUGGCCAUGCAUGUCCAAGAUGGUGUGUGUCCAAGAUGGUGGUGCUUAUCCAAGAUGGUGGUGUGUGUCCAAGAUGGUGGUGCGUGUCAAAGAUGGCCAUGCAUGUCCAAGAUGGUGUGUGUCCAAGAUGGUGGUGCUUAUCCAAGAUGGCCGUGUGUGUCCAAGAUGGUGUGUGUCCAAGAUGCUGGUGCUUAUCCAAGAUGGCCGUGUGUGUCCAAGAUGGUGUGUGUCCAAGAUGGUGGUGCUUAUCCAAGAUGGCAGUGUGUGUCCAAGAUGGUGGUGCGUGUCAAAGAUGGCCAUGCAUGUCCAAGAUGGUGUGUGUCCAAGAUGGUGGUGCUUAUCCAAGAUGGCCGUGUGUGUCCAAGAUGGUGUGUGUCCAAGAUGCUGGUGCUUAUCCAAGAUGGCCGUGUGUGUCCAAGAUGGUGUGUGUCCAAGAUGGUGGUGUGUGUCCAAGAUGGUGGUGCUUAUCCAAGAUGGCAGUGUGUGUCCAAGAUGAUGGUGCUUAUCCAAGAUGGUGGUGUGUGUCCCAGAUGGUGUGUGUCCAAGAUGGCGGUGCUUCUCCAAGAUGGCAGUGUGUCCAAGAUGGUGUGUCUCCAAGAUGGUGGUGCUUAUCCAAGAUGGCGGUGUGUGUCCAAGAUGGUGGUGCUUAUCCAAGAUGGCAGUGUGUGUCCAAGAUGAUGGUGCUUAUCCAAGAUGGCAGUGUGUGUCCAAGAUGGUGGUGCUUAUCCAAGAUGGUGUUGUGUGUCCAAGAUGGUGUCUGUCCAAGAUGGUGGUGCUUGUCCAAGAUGGUGGUGCUUGUCCAAGAUGGUGUUAUGGGUCCAAGAUGGCAGUGUGUGUCCCAAAUGGUGUGUGUCCAAGAUGGUGGUGCUUAUCCAAGAUGGCUGUGUGUGUCCAAGAUGGUGGUGCUUAUCCAAGAUGGCCGUGUGUGUCCAAGAUGGUGUGUGUCCAAGAUGGUGGUGCUUAUCCAAGAUGGUGGUGUGUGUCCAAGAUGGUGGUGCGUGUCAAAGAUGGCCAUGCAUGUCCAAGAUGGUGUGUGUCCAAGAUGGUGGUGCUUAUCCAAGAUGGCCGUGUGUGUCCAAGAUGGUGUGUGUCCAAGAUGGUGGUGCUUAUCCAAGAUGGCGGUGUGUGUCCAAGUUGUUGUGUGGCCAAGAUGGUGGUGCUUUUCCAAGAUGGUGGUGUGUAUCCAAGAUGGCGGCAUGUCCAAGAUGGCGGUGUGUCCAAGAUGGUGGUGCUUGUCCAAGAUGGUGUUAUGGGUCCAAGAUGGCAGUGUGUGUCCCAAAUGGUGUGUGUCCAAGAUGGUGGUGCUUAUCCAAGAUGGCCGUGUGUGUCCAAGAUGGUGUGUGUCCAAGAUGGUGGUGCUUAUCCAAGAUGGUGGUGUGUGUCCAAGAUGGUGGUGUGUGUCAAAGAUGGCCAUGCAUGUCCAAGAUGGUGUCUGUCCAAGAUGGUGGUGCUUAUCCAAGAUGGCCGUGUGUGUCCAAGAUGGUGUGUGUCCAAGAUGGUGGUGCUUAUCCAAGAUGGCCGUGUGUGUCCAAGAUGGUGUGUGUCCAAGAUGGUGGUGCUUAUCCAAGAUGGUGGUGUGUGUCCAAGAUGGUGUGUCUCCAAGAUGGUGGUGCUUAUCCAAGAUGGCAGUGUGUGUCCAAGAUGGCGGUGUGUGUCCAAGAUGGUGGUGCUUAUCCAAGAUGGCAGUGUGUGUCCAAGAUGGUGUGUGUCCAAGAUGGUGGUGCUUAUUCAAGAUGGCGGUGUCUCUGCAAGAUGUUGUGUGUCCAAGAUGGUGGUGUGUAUCCAAGAUGGUGGCGUGUCCAAGAUGGCGGUGUGUCCAAGAUGGUGAUGCUUGUCCAAGAUGGUGUUAUGGGUCCAAGAUGGCAGUGUGUGUCCCAGAUGGUGUGUGUCCAAGAUGUUGGUGCUUAUCCAAGAUGGCGGUGUGUGUCCAAGAUGGUGGUGCUUGUCCAAGAUGGUGGUGCUUAUCCAAGAUGGCCGUGUGUGUCCAAGAUGGUGUGUGUCCAAGAUGGUGGUGCUUAUCCAAGAUGGCGGUGUGUGUCCAAGAUGGCGGCGUGUGUGCAAGAUGGUGGUGCUUAUCCAAGAUGGCUGUGUGUGUCCAAGAUGGUGUGUGUCCAAGAUGGUGGUGCUUAUCCAAGAUGGCAGUGUGUGUCCAAGAUGUUGUGUGUCCAAGGUGGUGGUGCUUUUUCAAGAUGGUGGUGUGUAUCCAAGCUGGCAGUGUGUCCAAGAUGGCGGUGCUUGUCCAAGAUGGUGUUAUGGGUCCAAGAUGGCAGUGUGUGUCCCAGAUGGUGUGUGUCCAAGAUGGUGGUGCUUAUCCAAGAUGGCAGUGUGUGUCCAAGAUGUUGUGUGUCCAAGGUGGUGGUGCUUUUUCAAGAUGGUGGUGUGUAUCCAAGCUGGCAGUGUGUCCAAGAUGACGGUGCUUGUCCAAGAUGGUGUUAUGGGUCCAAGAUGGCAGUGUGUGUCCCAGAUGGUGUGUGUCCAAGAUGGUGGUGCUUAUCCAAGAUGGCAGUGUGUGUCCAAGAUGGUGUGUGUCCAAGAUGGUGGUGCUUAUCCAAGAUGAUGGUGUGUGUCCCAGAUGGUGUGUGUCCAUGAUGGCGGUGCUUCUCCAAGAUGGCAGUGUGUGUCCAAGAUGGUGUGUCUCCAAGAUGGUGGUGCUUGUCCAAGAUGGCGGUGUGUGUCCAAGAUGGUGGUGCUUAUCCAAGAUGGCAGUGUGUGUCCAAGAUGGUGUGUGUCCAAGAUGGUGGUGCUUAUCCAAGAUGGCGGUAUGUGUCCAAGAUGUUGUGUGGCCAAGAUGGUGGUGCUUUUCGAAGAUGGUGGUGUGUAUCCAAGAUGGCGGCAUGUCCAAGAUGGCGGUGUGUCCAAGAUGGUGGUGCUUGUCCAAGAUGGUGUUAUGGGUCCAAGAUGGCAGUGUGUGUCCCAAAUGGUGUGUGUCCAAGAUGGUGGUGCUUAUCCAAGAUGGCCGUGUGUGUCCAAGAUGGUGUGUGUCCAAGAUGGUGGUGCUUAUCCAAGAUGGCCGUGUGUGUCCAAGAUGGUGUGUGUCCAAGAUGGUGGUGCUUAUCCAAGAUGGUGGUGUGUGUCCAAGAUGGUGGUGUGUGUCAAAGAUGGCCAUGCAUGUCCAAGAUGGUGUGUGUCCAAGAUGGUGGUGCUUAUCCAAGAUGGCCGUGUGUGUCCAAGAUGAUGUGUCUCCAAGAUGGUGGUGCUUAUCCAAGAUGGCAGUGUGUGUCCAAGAUGGCGGCGUGUGUCCAAGAUGGUGGUGCUUAUCCAAGAUGGCAGUGUGUGUCCAAGAUGGUGUGUGUCCAAGAUGGUGGUGCUUAUCCAAGAUGGCGGUGUCUGUGCAAGAUGUUGUGUGUCCAAGAUGGUGGUGCUUUUCCAAGAUGGUGGUGUGUAUCCAAGAUGGCGGCAUGUCCAAGAUGGUGAUGCUUGUCCAAGAUGGUGUUAUGGGUCCAAGAUGGCAGUGUGUGUCCCAAAUGGUGUGUGUCCAAGAUGGUGGUGCUUAUCCAAGAUGGCCGUGUGUGUCCAAGAUGGUGUGUGUCCAAGAUGGUGGUGCUUAUCCAAGAUGGCCGUGUGUGUCCAAGAUGGUGUGUGUCCAAGAUGGUGGUGCUUAUCCAAGAUGGCCGUGUGUGUCCAAGAUGGUGUGUCUCCAAGAUGGUGGUGCUUAUCCAAGAUGGCAGUGUGUGUCCAAGAUGGCGGCGUGUGUCCAAGAUGGUGGUGCUUAUCCAAGAUGGCAGUGUGUGUCCAAGAUGGUGUGUGUCCAAGAUGGUGGUGCUUAUUCAAGAUGGCGGUGUCUGUGCAAGAUGUUGUGUGUCCAAGAUGGUGGUGCUUUUCCAAGAUGGUGGUGUGUAUCCAAGAUGGCGGCGUGUCCAAGAUGGCGGUGUGUCCAAGAUGGUGAUGCUUGUCCAAGAUGGUGUUAUGGGUCCAAGAUGGCAGUGUGUGUCCCAGAUGGUGUGUGUCCAAGAUGUUGGUGCUUAUCCAAGAUGGCGGUGUGUGUCCAAGAUGGUGGUGCUUGUCCAAGAUGGUGGUGCUUAUCCAAGAUGGCCGUGUGUGUCCAAGAUGAUGUGUCUCCAAGAUGGUGGUGCUUAUCCAAGAUGGCAGUGUGUGUCCAAGAUGGCGGCAUGUGUCCAAGAUGGUGGUGCUUAUCCAAGAUGGCAGUGUGUGUCCAAGAUGGUGUGUGUCCAAGAUGGUGGUGCUUCUCCAAGAUGGCGGUGUGUCCAAGAUGGUGGUGCUUUUCCAAGAUGGUGGUGUGUAUCCAAGAUGGCGGCAUGUCCAAGAUGGUGAUGCUUGUCCAAGAUGGUGUUAUGGGUCCAAGAUGGCAGUGUGUGUCCCAGAUGGUGUGUGUCCAAGAUGUUGGUGCUUAUCCAAGAUGGCGGUGUGUGUCCAAGAUGGUGGUGCUUGUCCAAGAUGGUGGUGCUUAUCCAAGAUGGCCGUGUGUGUCCCAGAUGAUGUGUCUCCAAGAUGGUGGUGCUUAUCCAAGAUGGCAGUGUGUGUCCAAGAUGGCGGCGUGUGUCCAAGAUGGUGGUGCUUAUCCAAGAUGGCAGUGUGUGUCCAAGAUGGUGUGUGUCCAAGAUGGUGGUGCUUAUCCAAGAUGGCGGUGUCUGUGCAAGAUGUUGUGUGUCCAAGAUGGUGGUGCUUAUCCAAGAUGGCGGUGUGUGUCCAAGAUGGUGUGUCUCCAAGAUGGUGGUGCUUCUCCAAGAUGGCCGUGUGUGUCCAAGAUGGUGUGUGUCCAAGAUGGUGGUGCUUCUCCAAGAUGGCUGUGUGUGUCCAAGACAGUGUGUGUCCAAGAUGGUGGUGCUUCUCCAAGAUGGCGGUGUGUCCAAGAUGGUGUGUCUCCAAGAUGGUGGUGGUUAUCCAAGAUGGCCGUGUGUGUCCGAGAUGGUGUGUGUCCAAGAUGGUGGUGCUUCUCCAAGAUGGCUGUGUGUGUCCAAGACAGUGUGUGUCCAAGAUGGUGGUGCUUCUCCAAGAUGGCGGUGUGUCCAAGAUGGUGGUGCUUAUCCAAGAUGGUGGUGUGUAUCCAAGAUGGCCGUGCUUGUCCAAGAUGGUGUAAUGGGUCCAAGAUGGCAGUGUGUGUCGAAGAUGGCAAUGCUCCUGCUCUGUGAAUCCAGACCCUCUAGUUAUAACAGGACGAGGGCUGGUAUGUUCUUUCUGGCCACUUCCUGCUGAGGGAGGUGGUUAUUACGGGUCACCAAACACAGCCCUGGAGGGGAACAGGUUGAUUUGUUCCUGGUAGCACUCUUUAGGGGCCUUCCACGCAGCACCUGUUGAAACAUCUAGGUUUCAGUUCACAGGGCUUUAAGAAAGCAGAACUUGGGGUUUCAGAGGUUUUCCGUUAGGAAAAAUUGGAGAAAAAGAAAAAGGAAAAGAAUGCAAAACAUUAUCUUGGAGACAUGUAGCCAGAAAAAUUAGAAUUUAAUUCAAACCGUAGAAAAGAAUAAAAAACUGAAAACCAUUAGGCAAGACUAGAAUUUCACCACAGGGGUAACUGUCGUUUUUCAAACACGAUUUUUCUUUUUCCAGUUUUCCCACUUUUAUUAAAAGACAAAUUAUGGGCUGGGUGUGGUGGCUCACGCCUAUAAUCCCAGCACUUUGGGAGGCCGAGGUUGGCGGAUCACAAGGUCAGGAGAUCGAGACCAUCCUGGCUAACAUGGUGAAACCCCGUCUCUACUAAAAUUACAAAAAAUUAGCCGGGCGUGGUGGCGGCGCCUGCAGUCCCAGAUACUCGGGAGGCUGAGGCAGGACAAUGGCGUGAACCCGGGAGAUGGAGCUUGCAGUGAGCCGAGAUCGCGCCACUGCACUCCAGCCUGGGCGACAGAGCGAGACUCCGUGUCAAAAAGAAAAAAAAAAAAGACAAAUUAUGGUAGGACUGGUUUGCUUUAUUAUACUUGGCCUAAUUAUAUGUAUACAGUGCAGCAAGAGUAAUUAUUAUUUUUACUUUUAUUUAUUUCCUUAUUGACUUAUUUAUUUUGAGACGGAGUCUCGCUCUGUCGCCCAGGCUGGAGUGCAGUGGCGCGAUCUCAGUUCACUGCAGUCUCCGCCCUGCCGGGUUCAGGCGAUUCUCCUCGUCAGGGGUUAAUAUUAUUAUUAUUUUAACCACCAGGGCUGGGUGGUGGUGCCAAGGUCAUCUGGCUAUUUAUCUUCCUUCUGUUUCUUUUCCAACUUUCUGCUUUCUCCCUUUUGUCCUGUCUUAUAAAGUAGGGAAAAGGGGAGGCUGGGGAGAAGCUGGGAACGACAACAGGAGAAGUAGUGGUCUCAUUUCAUAAAACCAGGCGCAUGAGUCCCUGGUCCCUGGUAAGACAACGAAUCUCAGAUGGGACCUUUUUUAAGCUGAGCCCAGUCAUGGGUUUGUACCAUUAAAUACCUAUGAGUUGGGCAGAUUCCUUUCCUCUUGAGGUUCCAAGAAAACUUGGGGUUCUGGGCCUGUCAGAAACUGACAUUCUUUUCUUAUCACAGGUCAGAAACCCUGUACAGGGACUGUGUACACAAAAUAGGCCAGUUUUCCUUUAAAGGAAAGCACACCAUUCCAGUCAAAGCUUUGGUAAAAUGACCAGUUUUUCCAAUUGUGUCCCCUUAUUAAAGAAAACAGAUUUUUAUCACACUUAUGCACAUAUUUAUAUUGCCAUAAAUUAAGAAGACUCAAGGCUGGGCGCGGUGGCUCACGCCUGUAAUCCCAGCAUUUUGGGAGGCCGAGGUGGGUGGAUCACGAGGUCAGGAGUUCGAGACCAUCCUAGCUAACAUGGUGAAACCCCAUCUCUACUAAAAAUACAAAAAAUUAGCUGGGUGUGGUGGCGGGCGCCUGUAGUCCCAGCUACUUGGGAGGCUGAGGCAGGAGAAUCGCUUGAACCCGGGAGGCAGAGGUUGCAGUGAACCGAGAUGGCACCACUGCACUCCAGCCUGGGCAACAGAGCAAGACUCCAUCUCAAAAAAAAAAAAAAAUGUCAUGAGAUGUAGGGACCAGCCCCACAGGGUCGGUGGGUCUCUCCCUGUGUGCGGAGGCAAGAGAGUGUAGAAAUAGACACAAGACAAAGAGAUAAAAGAAAAGGCAGCUGGGCCCGGGGGACCACUACCACCAAGACGCGGAGACUGGUAGUGGCCCCGAAUGCCAGGCUUUGCUGAUAUUUAUUGGAUACAAGACAAAGGAGCAGGGUAAGGAGUGUGAGCCAUCUCCAAUGACAGGUAAGGUCACGUGGGUCACGUGUCCACUGGACAGGGGGCCCUUCCCUGCCUGGCAGCCGAGGCAGAGAGAGAGAGGAGGAGGAGAGAGACACCUUACACUAUUAUUUCUGCUUAUCAGAGACUUUUAGUACUUUCACUAAUUUGCUACUGCUAUCUAAAAGGCAGAGCCAGGUGUACAGGAUGGAACAUGAAGGCAGACUAGGAGCAUGACCACUGAAGCACAGCAUCACAGGGAGACGGUUAGGCCUCUGGAUAACUGCGGGUGGGUCUGACUGAUGUCAGGUCCUCCACAGGAGGUGGAGGAGUAGAGUCCUCUCUAAACUCCCCCGGGGAAAGGGAGACUCCCUUUCCCGGUCUGCUAAGUAGCGGGUGUUGUUCCUUGACACUGACGCUACCGCUAGACCACGGUCCGCCUGGCAACGGGCGUCUUCCCAGACGCUGGCGUUACCGCUAGACCAAGGAGCCCUCUGGUGACCCUGUCUGGGCAUAACAGAAGGCUCGCACUCGUCUUCUGGUCACUCCUCACUAUGUCCCCUCAGCUCCUAUCUCUGUAUGGCCUGGCUUUUCCUACAUUAUGAUCCUAGAGCAAGGAUUAUUAUAAUAUUGGUAUAAAGAGUAAUUACUACCAACUAAUGAUUAAUGAUAUUCAUAUAUAACCAUAUCUAAGAUCUAUAUCUGGUACAACUUUCUCGUUUUAUAUUUUAUUAUAUACCGGAAGAGCUCGUGUCCUCGGUCUCUUGCCUCGGCACCUGGGUGGCUUGCCGCCCACAAUGAAGGUGCAACUUGACAUAGGGAGGGUAGAAGAUAGCCUGAGUAUAGGGAACCUCUUGCCAUUUCCUGGUGAUAAAGUUGUCAAGGUCCCUGAGAAUUUGCAAGUUAAAGGUGCCAUGUUCGGGCCAUCUGCUGUCAUUAUGUAGUUUGUAUUGGUGCCAGACUAUUGCAAUAAAAAAUUCAACACUCUGGCUUUAGGUUCCUCUGUAAGCCAAGUUUGGCCAGGUUGGAAAGGAGACAUCCCAGAGGGGACGACAUAGGAAUGUCGGGUUGUUUGGCACCCACGUGGGCUGGUAAAAGGAAGCCGAGAGUGUCUGUUUGUGUUUUAGGCAACCCCAGACAAAAGACAGAGACCCAGAAUCCUCUUUAUAAGGAGGACGGUCAAGCUGAGAAGAUACUGGGCAUCCCUCAGGAUCGCUUGUAGCUUAGGGCCGCUGGUCCUCCGAGGACCGGGAUGGCCGACCUGACUUUAACUGGGAACCAAAAGUCAGAGGAGGGCAGAUCUUACCAGCCGGCUGGAUUUGUGUCUGAUGUUGGAUGUUCCUGUUGGAAUUGGCAAAGGGGCUCCCAAACUGGAGCCGCGCAGGGAAAACAGAGAGAGAGAGAAGAGGGAAGAAGACAGAGGAAGAGAGAGGAAGACGAAGCAAGGGUUAGGGAGCGAAGUACCUGUUGCAGGGGGUCAGAGGUGGAUUUCUGAGACCUGAGGGUUUUGAGAACCCUCCAGCUUGAGCCUCCAAGUCCCCUUUACAUGAGUUGUCUUCCUCACAGAAAUUGCUUGGAAGGUGAAUGGAGAGAAAAGAUGGGAGGGGUGGCCAGCGACCCUCACGAUCCAGGAGUUAGCCCAGGAUGAGAUGCUGCUGCCCACAGCUUCCUGGGUUGCAAGAGAACCUCCACUCCCAACACUCAAAGAGGGACACAGAGAGAGGACAGGGUCAGGGGGCCAGAGGCUCUAAAGGAUCCAGGAGUUAGCCCAGGACGGGCUGCCCCUGCCCACUGCAUCCUGGGUUGCAAAAGGGCCUCUGUCCGUAACACCUGUCCUGGGUUUCGGCACCAAAUAUAA
This is a long non-coding RNA of Pan troglodytes (chimpanzee), 13829 nucleotides long. RefSeq lists it as uncharacterized. The transcript is spliced from 2 exons. NCBI's taxonomy places the organism in Eukaryota, Metazoa, Chordata, Mammalia, Primates, Hominidae. The record is from RefSeq and is a predicted model, not a curated record.